RNAcentral lists this ribosomal RNA (478 nucleotides) under uncultured bacterium. Its description in RNAcentral is "partial 16S ribosomal RNA". It matches the Rfam family "Bacterial small subunit ribosomal RNA", at positions 28 to 523 of the family's 1533-position model. The record is from RNAcentral.
GACGAACGCUGGCGGCGUGCUUAACACAUGCAAGUCGAACGGUAAGGCCCUUGGGGGUACACGAGUGGCGAACGGGUGAGUAACACGUGGGUGAUCUGCCCUGCACUUCGGGAUAAGCCUGGGAAACUGGGUCUAAUACCGGAUAGGACCACUGCCUGCAUGGGUGGUGGUGGAAAGCUUUUGCGGUGUGGGAUGGGCCCGCGGCCUAUCAGCUUGUUGGUGGGGUGAUGGCCUACCAAGGCGACGACGGGUAGCCGGCCUGAGAGGGUGACCGGCCACACUGGGACUGAGAUACGGCCCAGACUCCUACGGGAGGCAGCAGUGGGGAAUAUCGCACAAUGGGCGCAAGCCUGAUGCAGCGACGCCGCGUGAGGGAUGACGGCCUUCGGGUUGUAAACCUCUUUCAGCACCGACGAAGCGCAAGUGACGGUAGGUGCAGAAGAAGGACCGGCCAACUACGUGCCAGCCGCCGCAGUAA